UACUCUCAGGUUCCGGAGAUCUUAGGACUCU
This 31-nucleotide non-coding RNA is filed under the name Mus musculus (house mouse). Lineage: Eukaryota; Metazoa; Chordata; Mammalia; Rodentia; Muridae. The record is from RNAcentral.